UUUUUUUUUUUUUUCCAUCGAUACCAAGGACCAAAGAGAAAAGCAGGGAAAAUUAGCUUUUUCAAGAUAGAAGUAUUUUUUUUAAGGAAUUCUUUUUUCCUUUUCUAUUUUUAUUUUUUUAAGAUUUUAUUUAUUUAUUCAGGAGAAACACAGAGAGGAGAGAGAGAGAGAGGCAGAGACACAGGCAGAGGGAGAAGCAGGCUCCAUGCAGGGACCCCAACGUGGGACUCGAUCCCAGGCCUCCAGGAUCAGGCCCUGGGCCGAAGGCAGUGCUAAACUGCUGAGCCACCCAGGCUGCCCGAUAGAAGUAUUUUUUUGAUGAUAUUUAUUUGUAAGCUAUGAGAAUUUAAAUGGAAUAAAAUUAUUUGCAUAUAAAUUCACAUUGUUCAAAAUAUUAAAAAACUAUAAAAGAUGUCUGUGUAACUACAGAUGUAUAUUAUUUGCUGUAGAUUUAAAGUAUUUAUGUACUUGAGCACAAACAUACAGGGGAGGGAGGAGGAAGUUUUGGUGGGAUUGAGAAUCUAAAAUUUAAACUUAAAAGGUUUAUGUUCACAUCUUCUCUCCUUAUUGUCCAAUUUGUAGAUUCUAUUUAAUAUCAGCCUUAUCAGUGUAGGUACUUUUGAAUAUGUUUUACAUUUAGUUACUCUUGCUCAAUUUAUAUUUUAUCAUGGUGGAUAAUUCCCAUGGCAUAAUAGAAUUUUAAUUUUUAUUCUUCACAUUUUUUAUCUACUAAAAAGCAACUGUGAGGACUGAGUUGUUUUCUUCUUGAUCACAUCUCCUACAUAAAUUAAUUACAAGGCAUAUGGCUUUAUAUGUUUACAGGGCAAUUUACUUUUGACAACAUGAAUAUGGCCAAGAAAUUUCACAAGCUCUGGCUGAUGGAUUGAUGAAACUUUCAAAAGAUAAUUCUGAAAGAAAUGCUAUAGAAGACAGCCCUCAGGACACAAAAUCAAGUCUCAGCAAAAAUGAUCCAAACUUGGAGAUGCUGGUUAAACUGAUGUCAAGAAUGCAUUUAUUCUUCAUGGUCCAAAACGUGAAUGGAUUUGUGCUACAGAGGCUGAGGAUGAUAAAUUCCUAUGGUUGUCAGUGCUCCAAAGUGCAAUCAAAAGUAGUAUGGAGAAGUGAGAAAACAUUAUGGACGCUAAUUCUCCCUGGCAAAGAUGGUGUAUUUUGUGUUCCAGAAGAUACAGUAGGAAGUGGAAUGAUGAUUUGUCAUGAUGAUGGGAGAAUGAACUAG
RNAcentral lists this long non-coding RNA (1237 nucleotides) under Vulpes vulpes (red fox). RNAcentral's name for it is "lncRNA (ENSVVUG00000002670.1)". The record is from RNAcentral. Lineage: Eukaryota; Metazoa; Chordata; Mammalia; Carnivora; Canidae.